RNAcentral lists this ribosomal RNA (440 nucleotides) under uncultured bacterium. Its description in RNAcentral is "partial 16S ribosomal RNA". It matches the Rfam family "Bacterial small subunit ribosomal RNA", at positions 339 to 795 of the family's 1533-position model. The record is from RNAcentral.
CUACGGGUUGCAGCAGUAGGGAAUAUUGGGCAAUGGGCGCAAGCCUGACCCAGCAACGCCGCGUGCGCGAAGAAGGCCUUCGGGUCGUAAAGCGCUUUUCUGAGGGAUGAGAAAGGACAGUACCUCAGGAAUAAGCCUCGGCUAACUACGUGCCAGCAGCCGCGGUAAAACGUAGGAGGCGAGCGUUAUCCGGAUUUACUGGGCGUAAAGCGUGUGCAGGCGGUCUGGCAAGUUGGAUGUGAAAGCUCCCGGCUCAACUGGGAGAGGUCGUUCAAAACUACCGGACUAGAGUGUAUCAGAGGGAGAUGGAAUUCCCGGUGUAGUGGUGAAAUGCGUAGAUAUCGGGAGGAACACCAGUGGCGAAAGCGAUCUUCUGGGAUACUACUGACGCUCAGACACGAAAGCUAAGGUAGCGAACGGGAUUAGAUACCCCCGUAGUC